UUUUUUUUUUUUUUUUUUUUUUUUUUUUUUUUUUUCUGACAAGCCGCGUACU
This 52-nucleotide non-coding RNA is filed under the name Alexandrium minutum. The record is from RNAcentral. Lineage: Eukaryota; Dinophyceae; Gonyaulacales; Pyrocystaceae.